AUGUUUUAUACAAAUCUGCGAUACGAAUUCGUAUCGGUUGAAAGUGUGGGGAUGAAGUGUGAAAUGAAACAAAAA
Non-coding RNA from Caenorhabditis elegans, 75 nucleotides. Lineage: Eukaryota; Metazoa; Nematoda; Chromadorea; Rhabditida; Rhabditidae. The record is from Ensembl.